RNAcentral lists this unclassified non-coding RNA (378 nucleotides) under plant metagenome. RNAcentral's name for it is "partial contains 5.8S ribosomal RNA, internal transcribed spacer 2, and large subunit ribosomal RNA". The stretch from base 1 to 105 matches the Rfam family "5.8S ribosomal RNA", at positions 50 to 154 of the family's 154-position model. The record is from RNAcentral.
GAAAUGCGAUAAGUAAUGUGAAUUGCAGAAUUCAGUGAAUCAUCGAAUCUUUGAACGCACCUUGCGCUCCUUGGUAUUCCUUGGAUCAUGCCUGUUUGAGUAUCAUGAAAUCUUCAAAGUAAAUCUUUUGUUAACUCAAUUGGUUUCUACUUUGAUAUUGGAGGUCUUUGCAGCUUCACACCUGCUCCUCUUUGUUCAUUAGCUGGAUCUCAGUGUUAUGCUUGGUUCCACUCGGCGUGAUAAGUUAUCUAUCGCUGAGGACACUGUAAAAGGUGGCCAAGGUAAAUGCAGAUGAACCGCUUCUAAUAGUCCAUUGACUUGGACAAUACUUUUAUGAUCUGAUCUCAAAUCAGGUAGGACUACCCGCUGAACUUAAGC